UCCUACGGGACGCAGCAGUGGGGGAUAUUGCACAAUGGGGGAAACCCUGAUGCAGCGACGCCGCGUGUGGGAAGACGGUCUUCUGGAUUGUAAACCACUGUCCCCAGGGACGAAAAUGACGGUACCUGGGGAGGAAGCUCCGGCUAACUACGUGCCAGCAGCCGCGGUAAUACGUAGGGAGCAAGCGUUGUCCGGAAUUACUGGGUGUAAAGGGAGCGCAGGCGGCUUGGCAAGUCUGAUGUGAAAGGCUGGGGCUCAACCCCAGGACUGCAUUGGAAACUGUUAGGCUGGAGUGUCGGAGAGGG
This 305-nucleotide ribosomal RNA is filed under the name uncultured bacterium. RNAcentral describes it as "bacterial SSU rRNA". It matches the Rfam family "Bacterial small subunit ribosomal RNA", at positions 337 to 658 of the family's 1533-position model. The record is from RNAcentral.